Small nuclear RNA from Apodemus sylvaticus (European woodmouse), 104 nucleotides. NCBI's taxonomy places the organism in Eukaryota, Metazoa, Chordata, Mammalia, Rodentia, Muridae. The record is from RefSeq and is a predicted model, not a curated record.
GUCUUCCUUCUGUAGCACAUAAACUAAACUUGAAAUAAUUCAAAAAGAUGGCAGUGCCCCUGAGCAAGGCUAAUGUCCAAAUUCAUGAAGAAUUUCGUAUUUUU